RNAcentral lists this transfer RNA (98 nucleotides) under Cordyceps javanica. RNAcentral describes it as "Isaria javanica tRNA". It matches the Rfam family "tRNA". Rfam says of the family: Transfer RNA (tRNA) molecules are approximately 80 nucleotides in length. Their secondary structure includes four short double-helical elements and three loops (D, anti-codon, and T loops). Lineage: Eukaryota; Fungi; Ascomycota; Sordariomycetes; Hypocreales; Cordycipitaceae. The record is from Rfam by way of RNAcentral.
GCUCGGAUAACUCAGUGGUAGAGUACGGGAUUGCAGUCAUGUGGGUAACCACUAGCAAGAUUAUCCUGAAGUCGUCGGUUCGAUCCCGGCUCCGAGCU